UAGGGAAUCUUCGGCAAUGGACGGAAGUCUGACCGAGCAACGCCGCGUGAGUGAAGAAGGUUUUCGGAUCGUAAAGCUCUGUUGUAAGAGAAGAACGAGUGUGAGAGUGGAAAGUUCACACUGUGACGGUAUCUUACCAGAAAGGGACGGCUAACUACGUGCCAGCAGCCGCGGUAAUACGUAGGUCCCGAGCGUUGUCCGGAUUUAUUGGGCGUAAAGCGAGCGCAGGCGGUUAGAUAAGUCUGAAGUUAAAGGCUGUGGCUUAACCAUAGUAGGCUUUGGAAACUGUUUAACUUGAGUGCAAGAGGGGAGAGUGGAAUUCCAUGUGUAGCGGUGAAAUGCGUAGAUAUAUGGAGGAACACCGGUGGCGAAAGCGGCUCUCUGGCUUGUAACUGACGCUGAGGCUCGAAAGCGUGGGGAGCAAACAGGAUUAGAUACCCUGGUAGUCCACGCUGUAAACGAUGAGUGCUAGGUGUUAGACCCUUUCCGGGGUUUAGUGCCGUAGCUNACGCAUUAAGCACUCCGCCUGGGGGAGUACGACCGCAANGUUA
Molecule: ribosomal RNA, 551 nt
Filed under: uncultured bacterium
Lineage: Bacteria
Description: bacterial SSU rRNA
Rfam family: Bacterial small subunit ribosomal RNA
Source: RNAcentral